Parus major (Great Tit) is the source of this 1511-nucleotide long non-coding RNA. RefSeq lists it as uncharacterized. NCBI's taxonomy places the organism in Eukaryota, Metazoa, Chordata, Aves, Passeriformes, Paridae. The transcript is spliced from 3 exons. The record is from RefSeq and is a predicted model, not a curated record.
CGUGAGGGGACCGGCGUGAGGGGAUCGGCGCUCGUGCGGUGGUGGCGUGGUUUGCGUGGGAAAGAAUCCUAAAGGUCAUCCUGUUUCACCCCCUGGUGUGGGUAGGGUCAACUUGCGCUAGACCAGAUUGCUUCGAGCACUGUCCAGCACGGCCUUGAACACUUCCAGAGAUGGGUCAGCCACAGCUGCUCCGUUCCACUCCCUCACCUCCCUCCCAAAGAAGAAUUUCUUCCAAAUCUCCAAUCACAGAAUCGCAGGAUCAGUAAGGAUGGAAAAGACCUUAGAGAUCACAGAGUCUAGCCUAUGAUCUAACACCACCCUCGACUAUGGCUCUAAGUGCCACAUUCAGUCUUUUCUUAAACACCUCCAGGAAUGAUGACUAAACAAAUCUAAACCUCCUCUCUGUCAGUGAGAAGCCAUUCCCUCUUGUCCUGCCACUACAUCACCUGGCAGUGGAGAAAAGUGAAGCGAUCCUGUCUUCCCUUUGUCCAUCAAGUCUCAUCUUCAGAGCUGUUGUGCUAAAGAGAGGAGAUUGUCAGCAGUUCACAACAAGAGAAAACAUGUUCACUCAAGGUCUUGCUGCUGGGGACAGAUGAGGCUUGGGGACAGCUGAAGCCACCUGCAGCCACAAGAGACACCCCUCAUCGAGAGCUGGAAUAAGGAAAUGGGUGCUGACAGCACGAGGGGAUGGGAUUGGGUCAUCACCUCUGCAAAACCUAUUGUACAUCUAACAUCUCAGGGAAAUAAAUAACAGGCAACUCCAGCAGAGAUGCUGAGAAGCUGGGAAACUGGCAGAGCAUUUCAGAUUUAUGGGAAAUUAAUUUAGCCCUGGAUGCUGAGAGCCAGCAAGGCCCUCUCCCCAGGACAGCCCAUACUGCUGGCCCAAGAUGUGGGGUCUUUGUCAGACUUCAGGUUUAACUUCUGAAAAUAAAUCACACUUGUACAGCAGAGGUGAAGCAGUACCUCUCCCAGAGCAGAGGACAGCCAGGAUCCUGGCACUCAGCAUCCCCUGUGCUGGCAGCCAAAGGGGAAGGGGAGGCACUGGAAAGGCUGCUGCUGCUUGGAGGCCAAAACAUAGCCCAAGAAAGUCUCUUCUUCAUCAGGACACAGAACAGUCCCAUGUUCCACAGCUCCAAGACAGGGAUUUCUUCCCACUUUCAUCACCCACACAGCAAGAGAAGCACCAAACACCCCCUCCAGAUGUGUCUUCACAAUGUUCAGUCAUAGACAGUGGUUAGAAGAAGGGGAUAUUUCUCUCCAACCUCCAUCCUUGACACUAGACACCCCUCUGGGUGGGUUUGGGGUUUUUCCAGUCCCUCCCUUAUUCCCAGCUGUUCAGGGUCUGUAUCUGGAGACAGAUGAGGGAAACCCAUGCUUUGUAUUCUCACCCUUUGGAGAGCAUUUCUGUGAUAACCAAUCCCAUUAGACAUCCCUUCAACACGAGUGUGCCCUCCUGGCCCAAACCCACCCCUGGGCUCACUGCCAGGGCUGUUUUCCAUGCCAGCCUGGCA